UAGGGAAUCUUCGGCAAUGGACGAAAGUCUGACCGAGCAACGCCGCGUGAGUGGAGAAGGUUUUCGGAUCGUAAAACUCUGUUGGUAGAGAAGAACGUUGGUGAGAGUGGAAAGCCCAUCAAGUGACGGUAACUACCCAGAAAGGGACGGCUAACUACGUGCCAGCAGCCGCGGUAAUACGUAGGUCCCGAGCGUUGUCCGGAUUUAUUGGGCGUAAAGCGAGCGCAGGUGGUUUAUUAAGUCUGGGGUAACAGGCAGUGGCUCAACCAUUGUAUGCAUUGGAAACUGGUAGACUUGAGUGCAGGAGAGGAGAGUGGAUUUCCGUGUGUAGCGGUGAUAUGAGUAGAUAUAUGGGGGAACUACGGUAGCGAAAGCGGCUCUCUGGCCUGGAACUGGCACUGAGGCUCGAAAGCGUGGGGAGCAAAC
RNAcentral lists this ribosomal RNA (426 nucleotides) under uncultured bacterium. RNAcentral's name for it is "bacterial SSU rRNA". It matches the Rfam family "Bacterial small subunit ribosomal RNA", at positions 355 to 773 of the family's 1533-position model. The record is from RNAcentral.